RNAcentral lists this transfer RNA (73 nucleotides) under Felis catus (domestic cat). It matches the Rfam family "tRNA". Rfam says of the family: Transfer RNA (tRNA) molecules are approximately 80 nucleotides in length. Lineage: Eukaryota; Metazoa; Chordata; Mammalia; Carnivora; Felidae. The record is from Rfam by way of RNAcentral.
ACCUGGCUGGCUCAGUCAGCAGAGCAUGUGAUUCUUGAUCUUGGGGUUGUGCGUUCGAGCCCCAUGUUGGGUA